This 443-nucleotide ribosomal RNA is filed under the name uncultured bacterium. RNAcentral describes it as "partial 16S ribosomal RNA". It matches the Rfam family "Bacterial small subunit ribosomal RNA", at positions 338 to 795 of the family's 1533-position model. The record is from RNAcentral.
CCUACGGGUGGCAGCAGUGGGGAAUAUUGGGCAAUGGGCGCAAGCCUGACCCAGCCACGCCGCGUGAAGGAAGACGGCUUUCGGGUUGUAAACUUCUUUUCUGAGGGACGAAGAAAGUGACGGUACCUCCGGAAUAAGCCACGGCUAACUACGUGCCAGCAGCCGCGGUAAUACGUAGGUGGCAAGCGUUCUACGGAUUUAUUGGGUGUAAAGGGCGUGUAGGCGGGAAAACAAGUCAGAUGGGAAAACUCAGGGCUCAACCCUGAGCCUGCAUUUGAAACUGGUUUUCUUGAGUGCUGGAGAGGCAAUCGGAAUUCCGUGUGUAGCGGUGAAAUGCGUAGAUAUACGGAGGAACACCAGUGGCGAAGGCGGAUUGCUGGACAGUAACUGACGCUGAGGCGCGAAAGCGUGGGGAGCAAACAGGAUUAGAUACCCCUGUAGUC